This 647-nucleotide unclassified non-coding RNA is filed under the name uncultured Prochlorococcus sp. RNAcentral describes it as "partial 16S-23S ribosomal RNA intergenic spacer; may also contain 16S ribosomal RNA and 23S ribosomal RNA". The stretch from base 305 to 377 matches the Rfam family "tRNA". Lineage: Bacteria; Bacillati; Cyanobacteriota; Cyanophyceae; Synechococcales; Prochlorococcaceae. The record is from RNAcentral.
UUGUGGAGGAGGACGCCGAAGGUGGGGCUAAUGACUGGGGUGAAGUCGUAACAAGGUAGCCGUACCGGAAGGUGCGGCUGGAUCACCUCCUAACAGGGAGACAACAAAAUGUUUAAUAUUAUUAUUUUGUCACCUUAGGUCGAUCGGUAUCUCACGUUCUUAAUUUAUUAAGGAUUUCAUUUCCUAAGUUUUUCUAGGUCACACCCAUUAUUUUUCCUGGGCCAUUAGCUCAGGUGGUUAGAGCGCACCCCUGAUAAGGGUGAGGUCCCUGGUUCAAGUCCAGGAUGGCCCAUAUCUCUAUGUUGGGGGUAUAGCUCAGUUGGUAGAGCGCCUGCUUUGCAAGCAGGAUGUCAGCGGUUCGAGUCCGCUUACCUCCACUGAUUACCACCUCUUCCAUAAUCUGUAGAAAGGAAAUUUUUUGAGUCGUGACCAAAUUCUGAAAGAAUCUAGCUUCCUAAUGAAAUCAUUAAGAUGCUGGACUCAUUGAAUUAAUUUCAUUGUUUUCAGAGAACCUUGACAACUGCAUAGAUUAUUUUUUAAAGACAAUAAGCAUCUUUUAUGAUGCAGAUUUAUUAUUUGUGCGAAUGCAUUAAUAACAAUUCUAUUAAGCUGAUGCUUCAAUUUUGAAGUUAUUGGUCAAGCUACAA